UAGGAAAUAGUGUAGUGGAAGCACUAGGAGUUUUGCUCUCCUUAGGCGGGGUUCGAGUCCCCCUUUUCUAAAA
RNAcentral lists this transfer RNA (73 nucleotides) under Sebastes rubrivinctus (flag rockfish). RNAcentral's name for it is "tRNA-Gln". It matches the Rfam family "tRNA". Rfam says of the family: Transfer RNA (tRNA) molecules are approximately 80 nucleotides in length. Their secondary structure includes four short double-helical elements and three loops (D, anti-codon, and T loops). The record is from RNAcentral. Lineage: Eukaryota; Metazoa; Chordata; Actinopteri; Perciformes; Sebastidae.